CCCUUAGAUGUUCUGGGCCGCACGCGCGCUACACUGAAUGGAUCAACGUGUUUUCCCUUCCCGAGAGGGACGGGUAACCCGCUGAACCCCAUUCGUGGUAGGGAUCGGAGCUUGCAAUUGUUCUCCGUGAACCAGGAAUUCCCAGUAAGCGCAAGUCAUCAGCUUGCGUUGAUUACGUCCCUGCCCUUUGUACACACCGCCCGUCGCUCCUACCGAUUGAAUGGUCCGGUGAAGCGUUCGGACCGUGGCCUUUGGACGGUUCGCCGUCUGUUGGCUGCGGGAAGUUCGUUAAACCUUAUCAUUUAGAGGAAGGAGAAGUCGUAACA
RNAcentral lists this ribosomal RNA (326 nucleotides) under uncultured eukaryote. RNAcentral describes it as "partial 18S ribosomal RNA". It matches the Rfam family "Eukaryotic small subunit ribosomal RNA", at positions 1470 to 1796 of the family's 1831-position model. The record is from RNAcentral.